RNAcentral lists this ribosomal RNA (610 nucleotides) under uncultured Bacteroidota bacterium. RNAcentral describes it as "bacterial SSU rRNA". It matches the Rfam family "Bacterial small subunit ribosomal RNA", at positions 8 to 613 of the family's 1533-position model. Lineage: Bacteria; Pseudomonadati; Bacteroidota. The record is from RNAcentral.
AGAGUUUGAUCAUGGCUCAGGAUGAACGCUAGCGGCAGGCUUAACACAUGCAAGUCGAGGGGUAACGAUGGUGCUUGCACUAGGCGACGACCGGCAAACGGGUGCGUAACACGUAUAUAACAUGCCCUACACAGGAGGAUAGCCCUUGGAAACGAGGAAUAAUACUCCAUGGUAUCGAGAUAUGGCAUCAUAUUUUGAUUAAAGAUUUAUUGGUGUAGGAUUGGUAUGCGCAUGAUUAGUUAGUUGGUGAGGUAACGGCUCACCAAGGCGACGAUCAUUAGGGGUCCUGAGAGGGAGAACCCCCACACUGGUACUGAGACACGGACCAGACUCCUACGGGAGGCAGCAGUGAGGAAUAUUGGGCAAUGGAGGCAACUCUGACCCAGCCAUGCCGCGUGCAGGAAUAAUGCCCUAUGGGUAGUAAACUGCUUUUGUAUAGGAAGAAUAAGAGCCACGUGUGACUCGAUGACGGUACUAUACGAAUAAGGAUCGGCUAACUCCGUGCCAGCAGCCGCGGUAAUACGGAGGAUUCAAGCGUUAUCCGGAUUCAUUGGGUUUAAAGGGUCUGUAGGCGGAUUUAUAAGUCAGUGGUGAAAUCCCGAGGCUCAAA